AGCCUUUUUUUAUUGUUUCCAUCCCACACAUCAACAUAACCAUCACAACCUCAAGUAGCAAAUGUACCAUAGCUACAAAUCAAAAUCAGUUUUGAGACAGAUUUUGGCAAAAAGCUCAAGGUAUUCAAUCAAUAGAUAAUUGUAAUAGAUCCAACUCAAUCACUCAAUAUAUCUAGAGUUGAUAAAUCAAGCACAUAGGCUUAUAAAUCAUUCAUGGAUACAUUGACAUUAUAAAUCAUUCUCUUUUGUUUGUUCCAUUCCAACUCAAUCAUUGACAUAGCUACCUUAAGAAUACAUGGAUCGGCUCCACUUAUCAAGUUCAAAAAAACAGAUGUUUCCUAAAGACGCAUAGUUAUGAUGAGAAGCUUGAAGGUCGUGAUUGCCUGGGGAAUAUCUAGAGUUGAAAAUUGGAAAUCAGGAAAGAUAAAUUCAGGUUCGAUCGCUUAUUCGUAAGCUGUUAAAGUUUUGAACUGUCCCCAUAAUUGAUUGUUUUUGCCUUGUUUCUGCAAUUAUCUCUCAUAUUUGUUUACAGUAAGCACCAUCACAUCAAGUAAAGAACACUUCUCUUGCACCCUAUAUCAAUCUAACAUGAUUCCAUCUGGUACUGAGACUACCAAAACCCAAGCUCGUAGCCCAAAGAACCUACAACACUUUGUUCACCAUAGCUGAAGACAUACUUGGAACAACUAAGGUACCAUAUACUUUCUUUUUUUUUUCAGUGCAUAGGCAGACACAAACAUAUAUAGUUAUAAUAAAUCACACACACCUCAAACAAAAAAGAAAUGAAUUCUUUCAUAUCUUGAUAAACACUUCAAAUGUAUACUAAUCCUAUGAACAACCAAGUAAAAUGACAUUGAUAUGGUAUGAAGAGACAUACACAUCAGCUUGCAUGUACACUUCAGAACCAAGAUUGAUCAAUGUCCUCAGACUGGUUACACUAUUUUCUCCAAUGUCUCUAUAUUUCUUUUCCAAUCAGAGCUACAAGAAGUUAAGAGAAAAAAAAAGUAAAGAAGCAUUGCAGGUCAAAGGGAACUUGUGCAAAGAAAUAGGAGUCAGAGCAAUAAAGGUGAGUAGUAUCAAUACCCAAAUGCAAGAAAACUUAGAAGGAUACAAAACUUUCUGUUGUUCAAAUACCUCGUUCCUGCAAAAGAGAUACCCAGAAUAUUAGAAAUUUGGCAUAUAACAGAAAUUCCGUCUCCAAAUUCGCAACUUAAUAGUGAAAUAUUAAACAUAAAGUAGGUAAGUACUCCAACUCAUAUAAUCCCACUACUGAUGGUAAUAAGCUCAAUAAAGUGGUAACAGGGGAUGGUUCUCCAAAUAACAACUGUAAGCGGGUGAGUUCAGUAUGAGGCAACCAACGGAUUCCCACCCACACCUCCCCGUCUCAAGAAAAUAGAAAAGGGCAAAAAAGGGCGAAAAAAAAUAGAAGGAAAAGAAAAAAGAAAGAAAAGGAAAUGAAUAUUGGCAAUAUGGGAGUCAAAUGAAGCAAAGUCUAAUCUAUUUAUACACAAAAAAGGAUCACUCUCUUCCAGUUUCAGAUCGUUAGUUUUCACUACUACAGGAAGUUCAGCUACCGCCCGCUAGAAGCAAAAAAAAAAAAAUUUUAAAGACAUCGAGUGAGAGAAUUGGGCUCCAAAACACCCUUCCGUACAAUGAUACAAAGAUGGAAAAAGGACAAAAGAAAAUGAAGAAAGUUACGGGUAAUAACCAGAAAUUAGCUAAUUCAAAGUCCUCCCAAACUGUUCAAUAUAUUUCUUAUCUGCAUUGGCUAGGCGAUCUUGAAACUGCACCCACUCACUUCUGCACCUCUCUCUUACCUACCAAAUUAGAUAGAAAAGAAUUCAAGCUAGUUACUUGACGUUUGGACAAAUCUAAUGAAAUUCAGUUCAAUGCAAAAUCAUGCAAUUCAAACAGAGUGCAGAUAUAAGACCUAUGAAUCCUAAUUUAAACAUGAUUGUUAGAAUGUAGGUGAUAUAGAAUAACUCAGAUUACCAUAAAAUUGGAUGAAGAAGCUUUCAGAGUUGACUUUUGCAAAAAAAACGAAGGACAAAGAAAAGGCCUCAAUAAAAAAAUAUACAGAAAGGUUGAAAUGGAAACCGAACAAGUAACAGCUUACAUACCCCUUGCCAAGGAGCUUUUCCAUUUUCAGAUUGACCCUGGAAUCAACGAAGCUGAAGCUGUUAGCAUCAUUAUCAACAAAACAAAUCUAAAUGAGGGGAAACCAGAUCAAGGGACAAGUAGGAUAAUUGACGUGGAAGAAAAAAAUGUAAAUAAGGGGGUUGCUGCUAAAAAGUUGCUUAUUUUAUAAAUGAAGAACCAUUUGCUCAAAAAUGGAAAUUAAAGUUGAACAGAACAACAUUUGCAAACAACUAAACUUCAUUAUUUUAAUCACCUCUAGGAAAAGGAAAAGCAAGUCCCGAUGGUUGUAAUAAAGUAGUUAACUGACCUGACUUCCCAGAGAAGGAAUAACUUGAUGAACUAUCCACUGAGAGUCAACCACAUCAAUUUUCUCAUGUGCAGGCUACACAGGCAAAAUACACUUACAAUGAAACUGAUAAUACGCAGACAUCCAUUUGAAAUACAUACAUGUUUUCCAAUUUUAUCUGUUUUACAUGCCACUGUCCCGCAGAUCUCUCCUUCCAACAGGAAUAUGAAAAGCAGGUAGACAAGCCUUCUUUUCUAAAUCUUUCAAAUAAUACAGUGAUAAGAAACAAAUAAAACCACUGACCUCCACACAUCUCCUUAGUGCAAAAUCCAAUCCCCAACCAUGCACCAAAUCAUUCUAGAAAUGUUAUUGAAAGUAAAAAAUCAGCGUGAGCUCUAAGCUGGAAAGAACCAAGGCUAAUGAGAGCAGCUAAAAGCAAAAAUAGUUGGAGGUACAACAAGGCUUAAAACAUACGUAUACAAAUGACAAAGUUAGAGAAGGGAACCUGAAUCAUAUGCCAAACACAUCGCCAAGCAUCCCGCGAGAAAACAGGAGCCACAAUUUCCACAAAGCUGAAUUCAAAAAGGAAAAACACAAGGAAAAUUAGUUGAAGGUAAAUGUUGAAGCCACCCCAAUCCUUUAUACUUUUCUUAACUAUAUAUCUCCAUUUUAAGGGCCUGAGCAUAAAUCAUGGGUCAUAACUCAACCUACAAACACUACCAUAAAAUCAAAUUUUUCAACAAUAAGACGUGAUAUUGCUAUGAGAUGUCUUGUAGCUAAGCUCUUCUUUUUGGCAAUGGUCAACCUGAUGAAGAAAUAUGACCAUCAGAGAAAGUGAGCUUCUUGUUUCUGGCAAUUUCAACUUUCAAGCCAUGUAAAUAAACAAUAGUUUCCCAAGACAACAUUUUUGUUGUUUUUCAGUUUAAUAUUAUUAUUUUCUUGGGUUAAAGAGAUUGACCUUCGGAAAACCAAACAAUCAAUCUCUGGAAAAUUUAAAUCUUUGGAAAACCAAACAAUCACUCGGAAGAGAAAAAAACAAAUCCUUUUCAGGUUUGGAUUAUAAGAAAAUAAAAACAAGAAAAACAAACUGCAUGGCUCCCAAAUUGCCAUUCAGUCAAUCAAAAGAACAAUGUAUCAGUUCAAAACUACAAAAUUCAAUCUAUUAUGAUAAGUGAACCCUGCUCAAUUACAAUACAAUCUCAUCUCAUACUACCUGGGGUCAGUAACUUGCUAUCAUCUUCUUUCCCGCAGGUGUCUCUAAUAUCAGAAAAUAAUGUUUCUUCCAUUUAUCUCCUUUUUGAAUGCGAAGAAUUAGCAUAAAAGUCCUUAAAAAGUUAUUCAUAAAGAGGUUAACAUAUUUAGUUAACUCUACACUCAUGACUGUAAGCGUUGGUAGAUUUAUUAGUUUCAGAUACUAAAUGAUCCUCAGAUAUCCAUUAAAUAUAGAAGAGAUAAAAAUUCAGACAAAGCCAGCAAUUCUAAAGCCCAAACUGCUAGCCGAAAAAUCGUGGAAUUUUACACAAAUUAUACCAAAACCUCCAAUUCUCUUAGCUAAAUAUAAUAAAUUACCAAAAUUUACGAAACCCACAAUGGGUAUUAGGGCAAAAUAAUUCCCAAGGUCGGUUUUUUUCUUGAAGUGGUUCGAUUAUUAAAGAGGGGAAACAACGAAAGAGAACAAGAUUUCCUAAUGUUGUGCACCAAUUAAGGACGAUAUACUACUACUCCGUUGAAAUGUAGAUAGAAAUUCAGAUUAAUUGAAACAAAAGAAAAAAGAGCGCGAAAGAGAGAGAUUGAGAUAUUGAGAGAAGGAAGAAAGUUGAAGAAAAUAUACCUCCGGUUGCAAGGUUAUUCUCGGUCUGAAGAACCGCGAUACUCUGCAUCUUGGACGCCAUCGUACCUUCUCUUCUAUCUAUCUCCCUGAGAUUAGCUUUCCUUUUUCAGUUCAGAAACUUCUACUGCGGAUUCCGUCUGUAAGUAGUAGAGAGCUACAUUAGAAGAUGUGGCUGGAAUUUGAUGAUGGGGAGGAGAGGGAAAGACAAGUAAAGAGGGGCAGCCAAACAAACGGCUUCCAGAGUCCAAAUCCCAGCUACCAAAGAAAUCACAAACCAGUCUCCUAAAAGCAAUGAAAAAAAUGCUUGCACAACAAAACACAAGAACCAUUAGCAUCAAACAAGUUUUUACAGAGGAGGAGAAAAACAUGAAUACAGAGCAACCUGAAGAGAAGACCCGACCUCACUGGAGAGAAAGAAGAAAGCACAAGAUCUGCAACCAACAGUGAAGAUGGCACGUCCUUGGGCGGUAACAAGCCCGUGGAUGAGAAAAAAAAGAGAAAACUGCACGUCAGUGGACAAGGGACAAAAGAAAUACGAACUUUAGCCAAAAAAAAAAAAACAAAAAAAACAAAAAGAGGGGCAGACCAGAGGUAACCCGAAGAGAAGAUCUGACCUCACCGGAGAUGAAGAAGAAAGCCUAUUACAACAAAACAAAGGAGGAGGUCAACAAAAUUUUGUACCAGGUUCCAGAGGAUGCGGAUAAGUGAUAGAGCAACAUUAUCCCAAAAAAAACCAAAAAAAGAAAGAAAGAGAAUGUAAUGGGAGAGAGAAUGCAGCGGGAAGAGAGCAAAUGCAGCAGAAGAUCAGAAAGACGGAAGCACGGGCACAUGGGACACUGGCAGGCGAGGCCAGAUGGGAAAACUAACGCGCGAUGCGCGAACAACAUGAUGAUUCCAAUCCACAUGCCGGGCACGUGAGAGGACGACGAAAAUUCUGGCUGAAUGGAGUUGCCAUGUUAUCUACUUAUGUUGACUAGGAGGCAAUAACGCGCUUCGCGCGAUAGUAAUGUAAAAUGCCCAUUCCAUUUCUGAAGUAAGAAAAAUAACAUUUCAUUUAGAAAUGUACAUUUUUUAGUAUAUAUAUACCAUGAGUCUGAAGGUUUGUUGAUAUUUCUUGGCUACAAACUUUCAUGGAAGUUGCUAAAUUUCUAAAUUUAAUGGAAGUGCUUUGGAACCUCCAAAGCCUGAAUUUCUAAAUUUUGCUAAACUUCCAAAGUCUGAAAUGCAAAUUUAAAUUUCUAAAUUUUUAAUAGGAACUUCCAAACUCUGAAGUUUUGUUAAUGCAAAUUUAAUGGAGCAUUUUUCUAAAUUUAAUAUAUACCAGCCAUUUGUUUUUUGUAACCAAAGGUAGGAUCAACUUUAUUGCUAAACAUCAAAGUUUAAUAAGUAAUGCCGUUGGAACAUCCAUUAUGAAAGCUUCAAUUGUUGUUUACAACAGUAGGAACUUGCUAAACAUUAAAUUUGCAGUGCUUUGGAAGCAUUUUUCUAACCAGAACUUUUUUCCAUUAAGAACAUAAAUACAACAAAUGCCGUGCAUUGCGUUGAAGCAGAAUCAACGUAAAUCAGAUGUGCCAUCAAAUGGAAAAUGCAAACUGCCAUAGAAACAACUUCUCUAUUCCUUUGCGGUCAAACACCAGCACAACAAAGGGAGUCUUGGAUUGUGGAAUAAAAAGCAAUAUCUGGCCAUUUUUUAGAUCAUGAUCAAUAACAAAACGGUUCCAGUUUUGAUCAAAACAUCUGCCGGUCAUACCAACAUGAUAAUAUUUAUGACUAUUUGUAAGAGUUAUAGUCGUCGUACUAUCUUCAUUUAGCCUUAGAUUCGCAAAUUCUGGUAGAUCCUAUAAAUGUAUGAAAAAAAAUUGUGAUAAGUAAAUACACAUAUGUACAAAAGAAAGAGAGUUAAUAAGGUUAGAGAAUGCAAAACUAUACCAGCUUGUACUUGUACUUUGAUAGAUAAAAUUGAUAGAAGCAAUUGAAUGUAGUCCAGUCAUGUUUUAGGAAUGGAUUCAUAGAUGAGACAAUACGAUGGAGAACUGAUUCUGAGAUUUCAUGAUCUGUUUAUAAAGUAACAAAAGAAACCAUAUCAGCCAUAAUAAAUACCGUCUAAGCAAAAAAUAUAUAUAUAAUGGUAGUAAUAAAUACCGGAUUCUAGGACCUCAUGAAUUGUCCUUAGUCCUUGUAAGGAAGUAAUGGUAGUAAAACAAUCCUUUCAUCACGGCUGUUGCUCUUGUCUUCUCAGCGAAUUUUCGUCUUUGGAGGCCAGAGAAGCUUGAAAUACACAAAGUGAAAUUCAAUAAGACAUUUCACACUAAAAAUGACAUUAGUUGUUUUGUAUAUAAGAAUGACAUUAAUUGUUUUGUAUAUAAGAAGUCAUUUUGUUUUAGACACAUUAACAAUUAUGAUAUACCCAACAUUUUUAUAGGUUAUUAUACCAACGUCAUAAAAAGAAAACCAAGACCUAAAUUGUGGAACUGAUUAUAAAUUAAUUACUGUGGAAAGUAUAUUUAAACUAUUAAUCUAAUCUAGGAUGAACACAAAAAAAUGAAUAAGUAAUGUGCAAAAAAAAGGUGGUCAAAGAAUUUAACUUAUUUCAGAAAUAAUGAACCAAAUAAAGAAUCAAUCUUAGGAAAGCUGUAUGGUCUCGUCUUACAUUAAUUUCAACUUUGUUCUCUAUAUGAUUUCUUGAUUCUUUACCCCAAAGUCUUUUUCUCCCAUCAAGAAUGCUUCAGAAAUUAUAUGAUCAAUACAUACCUAGCUAUUACAGAAUGGCAACAAACUGAAAUGGCAACAACCUAGCUAUUACAGAAUUUCUGUGCUUGAGUCCUCUAACAACUAUAACUACAUAAUACACAUUAACUAAAAAACAUCCAAUGAAACUGCACUCAUAAUCAAACGACAAUGCCUAACAUAGGACAGCAGAUUCCUUCCUCUUUACUGCUUGGCCACAUGAGCAGUCAGUUCAGAAUUCUGCAGCAAAAAAUUAGAAGCAUUCAAAAUCAUUCAAAAUAACCAAUGAAUUCCUAGUCUGCACACACUAUUUAUUCAGUCAAAAGCAUUCAAAAUCAUUCAAGAAGAAUAAGUGUAAUCAUUCAAAACAGCACUCACACAAGUAACUUAUGAAGAUGCCUUUAUACACAACACACCGAAGCAAAAGUAACAUCUCGCAGAAAGAACCAAACACAGAAGAACAUCAUUUACAGGAUAUAAAACAGCAUUUGUCAAAGUCUGAAACAAAAAGAAGUCUCUAAUACAAUUCAUCUUGCUUUAGCAUUCCAAUUGAUCACUUUCAGAAAAAUGAGCUAAAGUAAUAAAUUUCCACGAACAAUAGAAUAAGUUAGUAUAACAAAGAAAUCAUAAUCUCAAAUUCAGAGGCAAAAAACAAAAAAAAAAAAAAAGAACCCUUGUUUUGACAAAUAUAACAAGUAUGAUAAAAAACUGACAAAUGUUGUCAUGGAGCGGAAGACAUUUCAAAUUCAAUUAAGGAAAAAUAACUGGUACAGCCUUUUUUUAUUGUUUCCAUCCCACACAUCAACAUAACCAUCACAACCUCAAGUAGCAAAUGUACCAUAGCUACAAAUCAAAAUCAGUUUUGAGACAGAUUUUGGCAAAAAGCUCAAGGUAUUCAAUCAAUAGAUAAUUGUAAUAGAUCCAACUCAAUCACUCAAUAUAUCUAGAGUUGAUAAAUCAAGCACAUAGGCUUAUAAAUCAUUCAUGGAUACAUUGACAUUAUAAAUCAUUCUCUUUUGUUUGUUCCAUUCCAACUCAAUCAUUGACAUAGCUACCUUAAGAAUACAUGGAUCGGCUCCACUUAUCAAGUUCAAAAAAACAGAUGUUUCCUAAAGACGCAUAGUUAUGAUGAGAAGCUUGAAGGUCGUGAUUGCCUGGGGAAUAUCUAGAGUUGAAAAUUGGAAAUCAGGAAAGAUAAAUUCAGGUUCGAUCGCUUAUUCGUAAGCUGUUAAAGUUUUGAACUGUCCCCAUAAUUGAUUGUUUUUGCCUUGUUUCUGCAAUUAUCUCUCAUAUUUGUUUACAGUAAGCACCAUCACAUCAAGUAAAGAACACUUCUCUUGCACCCUAUAUCAAUCUAACAUGAUUCCAUCUGGUACUGAGACUACCAAAACCCAAGCUCGUAGCCCAAAGAACCUACAACACUUUGUUCACCAUAGCUGAAGACAUACUUGGAACAACUAAGGUACCAUAUACUUUCUUUUUUUUUUCAGUGCAUAGGCAGACACAAACAUAUAUAGUUAUAAUAAAUCACACACACCUCAAACAAAAAAGAAAUGAAUUCUUUCAUAUCUUGAUAAACACUUCAAAUGUAUACUAAUCCUAUGAACAACCAAGUAAAAUGACAUUGAUAUGGUAUGAAGAGACAUACACA
Molecule: long non-coding RNA, 8634 nt
Filed under: Coffea arabica (coffee)
Lineage: Eukaryota; Viridiplantae; Streptophyta; Magnoliopsida; Gentianales; Rubiaceae
Description: long non-coding RNA (CARA_LNC003588)
Source: RNAcentral